GAUGAAGAACGCAGCGAAAUGCGAUAAGUAAUGUGAAUUGCAGAAUUCAGUGAAUCAUCGAAUCUUUGAACGCAUCUUGCGCUCCUUGGUAUUCUGAGGAGCAUGCCUGUUUGAGUGUCAUUAAAUUCUCAACUACACUGACUUUGAAUUGGUGUGGCUUGGAUUUGGGGGGAAAAUUGUUGUGGGCUUUUUGUAUAGUCUGCUCCCCUGAAAUUGAUUAGCGGUACCUUUGUGGAACUGUCUACAGGUGUGAUAAUUAUCUACAUCUUAGACAUCUGCUGGAAUGCUGCUUUCUAAACCUUACUUGUAUUGACAAUCUUGACCUCAAAUCAGGUAGGACUACCCGCUAAACUUAAGCAUAUCAAUAAGCGGAGGA
This 376-nucleotide unclassified non-coding RNA is filed under the name soil metagenome. RNAcentral's name for it is "partial contains 5.8S ribosomal RNA, internal transcribed spacer 2, and large subunit ribosomal RNA". The stretch from base 1 to 120 matches the Rfam family "5.8S ribosomal RNA", at positions 35 to 154 of the family's 154-position model. The record is from RNAcentral.